GUGGUCCCACCUGACCCCAUACCGAACUCAGAAGUGAAACGCCGUAGCGCCGAUGGUAGUGUGGGGUCUCCCCAUGCGAGAGUAGGGAACUGCCAGGC
RNAcentral lists this ribosomal RNA (98 nucleotides) under Salmonella enterica subsp. enterica. The record is from RNAcentral. Lineage: Bacteria; Pseudomonadati; Pseudomonadota; Gammaproteobacteria; Enterobacterales; Enterobacteriaceae.